AGGUAUAUAGCUCAGUGGUAGAGUGCAUGGCUAGCAUUCACAAGGUCCUGGGUUCAAUCCCCAGUACAUCCA
This 72-nucleotide transfer RNA is filed under the name Camelus bactrianus (Bactrian camel). It matches the Rfam family "tRNA". From Rfam's summary of the family: Transfer RNA (tRNA) molecules are approximately 80 nucleotides in length. Their secondary structure includes four short double-helical elements and three loops (D, anti-codon, and T loops). Further hydrogen bonds mediate the characteristic L-shaped molecular structure. tRNAs have two regions of fundamental functional importance: the anti-codon, which is responsible for specific mRNA codon recognition, and the 3' end, to which the tRNAs corresponding amino acid is attached (by aminoacyl-tRNA synthetases). tRNAs cope with the degeneracy of the genetic code in two manners: having more than one tRNA (with a specific anti-codon) for a particular amino acid; and 'wobble' base-pairing, i.e. permitting non-standard base-pairing at the 3rd anti-codon position. The record is from Rfam by way of RNAcentral. RNAcentral also lists the same sequence under 2 other names. Lineage: Eukaryota; Metazoa; Chordata; Mammalia; Artiodactyla; Camelidae.